UUCGUGAUUUUUUCUGUAUCUAACACUCUCAUGCCUUAAUUAGCAUUUGCGAUGUCAUAGUUUUUCUCUCAUUAUCCAAUCAAAUAUUUAUUGAUCCCUUUUAGCUAGAAAAUAUGGAAACCAAGAAUAGGAAGCUAGGCCGCGUAAGGUGGACGUGAAUGAUAUCAGUCUAGGCUUCGUUUGGAGGUAAGGAUACAUUAACUAAUCUCUAAAUC
RNAcentral lists this long non-coding RNA (215 nucleotides) under Carica papaya (papaya). Its description in RNAcentral is "long non-coding RNA (CPAP_LNC010761)". Lineage: Eukaryota; Viridiplantae; Streptophyta; Magnoliopsida; Brassicales; Caricaceae. The record is from RNAcentral.